ACGAAGAGAAAGACGUAAAAGAAUACUUUGAUUUAUUUUUUCGUCCGGAAAAUGCAAAUAUAUAUGUGUAUGGUGAUGUGAACACAGACAUUACACAAAGUUUAAUAAAUAACAAGUUUAAAAAUAUAAUAAAAAAAAAAUUAACAAAAGAUGAUCAAAUAUAUAUGGAUAUUUUAACAGAAAAUACUUUAAGGAGUACAAAUAAAAAUUUGCCAGCUGUUGUUCAUAAGUUUAGUGACAAUUUGUUGGAUAAAACUGCAAAUAUUUGUAAUAAUGGAAGUAAUAUUACAUCCGAAAUGGAGAUAAAAGAAUCUAACUGUUUUAACACUGACCAGAAUAAAUCAAAUGAGUCAGCAAAUCUGGUCAACUUAAUUCAACCAACCUUUUUACAUGACCCACCCGAACCCCCUUGUGAAUAUAUAGAUGAUAAUAUUGUCGAUAGUGAAAAAUUUAAAGAGUUAACAAAAAAUCCUGACCCAAUUAUAAAUGAAUUAAAAUUCAGAUCUUAUUUAGAAAAAAAAUAUGCUGUUAAUUUAGAAGAAGAAAAAAGCUUAAAUAAGUCAAACAUAAAAAAUAACGAAACCCUUUUUGAAAUUUUUAAUUAUGCAUUAAACAAUGUUACUAUCAACAUUUUAGCAAAAGAAAAAAUAAAAGGAAUUAAAACAAUGCAAGAUUUAAAAAUUUCGAUUAUAAAAGACAUUAUAUUUUAUUGUUUAUCUUUUAGGUUCAAUAUCCAAAGACAACAUCUGUUUAACAAUAUCGACAUAAAUGAAUAUACUAACAUAAAUGAAGGUGCAACUAUAAAAACUAUAGAAAUUAAAACAAAUGUACAAACUUUUGAUAAAACAAUUCAAAUGUUUUAUAAUUUUAUUAAAAGUUUAAUGCAAUAUGGGUUUAGUAAUGAUGAGUUGGAAAAUUAUAAAAUUAAUAAAAUGUAUGAUGAUUUGUGCGAGGAUAGUUACACCGAUGUUGUGGAAACGGGUUCUACAUCUGGGAGUGAUACAACUACAACUACUACUACUACUACUACUACUACUGCAACUACUACCACUACUACUACCAAUACUACUAUCACACCCCACAGUGGUAAAAAUAGUAAAUUGAUCCACCCCGAAAAAGAAGACGAAUUUAUACAGGACAAUAAAAUAAACGAAACGUAUGCUGAUGAAAUACAAAAAAUAAUCGAUUAUAAUUCAUGUAAGCAUAUUUAUAUGAAUGAAAAAAGAGAAAAAAUAAUAAGAAAACAAAUAUUUAAUAAUUUAACAAUCGAAGAAAUUAAUUUAUUUGCUAAGAAUUAUUUCAAAUAUUUAUUUAAUGUAUUUACUCAAAAUACAAAUUUUAAACCAAAUUGUAUUAUUGUUCAUGUACCUAAUGAAUCUUCUCACUUAUUUGAUAAACAAAAAAUCAAAAAAUUGUUUUAUAAUAAUAUAUAUUCAACUGAACAUGUUCCUGACUAUUCUUUUAGUAUUCAAAAUAAAUUAUUAUCAGAUAAUUACAUUUUUGAAAAUAUAACAAAAAAUGUGAAUCAAUCCAAAUAUAUAAACAACAAAAAUAGAAGUGCUAAUCUUAAUAAUAGCAAAACUAUUUUUGAUUAUAUCUUUCACAAAUUAGAAAAUAUAAAAAAUAACAACACAUUGACACAGUUGAGUUAUGGUAGAGAUAGUAGUACUACCGAAGGAUAUAGCCCCUAUAGCGACAAUAACAUUUUAUGUUCUAUUCACGAUUUAAAUACAAUUCCUAACUUUAAUUUUUUUCAAAAUUGUUAUAAUAUAAAUAAUAUACAACUAAAAAACGAACUAGGUGAUCAUACAGAACACAUAACUGAUAGAACAGAAUUAUAUUCGUUAAAACGGGGGGAGCAAAAUGAAAAAUAUUUAAAAUUGAAAAAAAAAAAAAAAGACAUAAACGGGUAUGACAGGCUAUAUACAGAUACAGAAAGGUCAUCUAAUAUGGAUAAGGAGUUAACCAAUACUUUUACAGACGUACCACAUAAUACUUUUACAGACGCACCAUACUACACAUCCCCGACGCAACAACAAAUCCAAAACUUCGAAUUAUUAAACGGAAUAAAAAUAAAUAUAUACAAAACCCAAAUCGAUAAACAUAAUAUGUACAUAAAAUUAAUUAUUCCCCAUAAUGACAUAUUAAAAAAUAAAAAAGAUAAAACAUUCCUUUUACUAUUUUCUAUAAUUUGUUUAUUUGAAGGGGGGGAAAUUGAAAACAUAGACAGAGAAAAAGUAGAAAUACAUUGUAGCAACAAAAAUAUCAAUAUUAUGAUUGAUGUAAAUGAUGAAUAUUUUUAUAUUGAUAUUUAUACUUAUAAUAAAUAUGAGAAUAUGCAUUCUGCCUUUUCUAUAUUAAACAAUAUUAUAGUACAAACCAAAAUUGAACCAUCAGCUUUACAUAGAGUGGUCGAUAAAUUGAAGAAGGAUUACUAUGAAUAUAGGAACAACCUCCAGUCCUUUUUAAUAGGCCAAACACUGUCCUACAUAUCCGACAACAAACUCGGAUACCAAAAUUUUGACUUACAACUGUUAGAGAAGAUAACUAUUGAAGAUGUCAAUAUCGUUUUAAACAACUUAUUUAACGAUUUAUCUUUGUUUGAAGUUACUAUAGUUGGUGAUGUUACAGAUUUUAUACAUUAUUAUAUUCGUCAUUACUUAGGUACUAUAACAAAAAAUAAAGAAGAAAAAAAAAUUACAAAUUUUGAUAUAUUAAAUAAUCAAAAAGAAGUAACAAAUGUUGUAAAAAAAUCGAACAUGAUGAAUAAUGAAAUUGUCGAAAGUUACAAUAGUAGUUCUACCAAAACAGUAACAAAUGAAAAAAUAAAUGAUAUAACAUAUGAAUAUAAUUUAUUAUGUCCGUUAGUAAAGUUAGAACAAAAAUCAAAACAAACUACAUAUGUAUAUCUAAAUGACAAAGAAGAACACGCUGUUUUUUUAUUAAUGGGUAAAAGUGCUAACAAUUUUGGCUUUCUCCCAAACGGGGUACAUAUAUCUAUUUAUUUACUACAAUUUUUAAAAAAAAUCGAAUAUCUUAUAAACAACAAUAAUAACAACAAUAACAACAGUAAUAAUAACAACAGUAAUAACAGUAAUGAUAGACAACAGAUAAGUGAUAAAGAAAAAAAUAUGAUCGACAUCGAAUUAGAAAAAAUAAAAAGCUACAUAGAUAUCAACGAUUUUAGCAAAACCCAAUUUGACGAAUUUAUGGAAAAAAAAAAAAAGUUAUAUACAAACCCUAUUUUUUUUUCUGCUGUAUCAUAUAUAAUUCAAUAUAUAUUAAACAGUAAGUUUUUUCAUUAUUUAAGAGAAAAAAAAGAUUUAACAUAUGAUUCAUCAUUUGAAUUU
RNAcentral lists this long non-coding RNA (3350 nucleotides) under Piliocolobus tephrosceles (Ugandan red Colobus). RNAcentral describes it as "lncRNA (ENSPTEG00000011663.1)". Lineage: Eukaryota; Metazoa; Chordata; Mammalia; Primates; Cercopithecidae. The record is from RNAcentral.